This 495-nucleotide ribosomal RNA is filed under the name uncultured bacterium. RNAcentral describes it as "partial 16S ribosomal RNA". It matches the Rfam family "Bacterial small subunit ribosomal RNA", at positions 28 to 507 of the family's 1533-position model. The record is from RNAcentral.
GACGAACGCUGGCGGCGUGCCUAAUACAUGCAAGUAGAACGCUGAAGGAGGAGCUUGCUCUUCUGGAUGAGUUGCGAACGGGUGAGUAACGCGUAGGUAACCUGCCUGGUAGCGGGGGAUAACUAUUGGAAACGAUAGCUAAUACCGCAUAACAGUAGAUGUUGCAUGACAUUUGCUUAAAAGGUGCAAUUGCACCACUACCAGAUGGACCUGCGUUGUAUUAGCUAGUUGGUGGGGUAGCGGCUCACCAAGGCGACGAUACAUAGCCGACCUGAGAGGGUGAUCGGCCACACUGGGACUGAGACACGGCCCAGACUCCUACGGGAGGCAGCAGUAGGGAAUCUUCGGCAAUGGACGGAAGUCUGACCGAGCAACGCCGCGUGAGUGAAGAAGGUUUUCGGAUCGUAAAGCUCUGUUGUAAGAGAAGAACGAGUGUGAGAGUGGAAAGUUCACACUGUGACGGUAUCUUACCAGAAAGGGACGGCUAACUACGUG